GUAGAUAUAGUUUAACAAUAAAACAUUAGAUUGUGAUUCUAAAAAGAGGGGUUAAAACCCCCUUAUCCACC
RNAcentral lists this transfer RNA (71 nucleotides) under Oedalechilus labeo (boxlip mullet). Its description in RNAcentral is "tRNA-His". It matches the Rfam family "tRNA". Rfam says of the family: Transfer RNA (tRNA) molecules are approximately 80 nucleotides in length. The record is from RNAcentral. Lineage: Eukaryota; Metazoa; Chordata; Actinopteri; Mugiliformes; Mugilidae.